GAUGAAGAACGCAGCGAAAUGCGAUAAGUAAUGUGAAUUGCAGAAUUCAGUGAAUCAUCGAAUCUUUGAACGCACAUUGCGCCCCCUGGUAUUCCGGGGGGCAUGCCUGUUCGAGCGUCAUUACAACCCUCAAGCUCUGCUUGGUGUUGGGCCCCGCCGCCCCGGCGGGCCCUAAAAUCAGUGGCGGUGCCGUCCGGCUCCGAGCGUAGUAAUUCUUCUCGCUCUGGAGGUCCGGGUGUGUGCUCGCCAGCAACCCCCAAUUUUUUUCAGGUUGACCUCGGAUCAGGUAGGGAUACCCGCUGAACUUAAGCAUAUCAAUAAGCGGAGGA
RNAcentral lists this unclassified non-coding RNA (329 nucleotides) under soil metagenome. RNAcentral describes it as "partial contains 5.8S ribosomal RNA, internal transcribed spacer 2, and large subunit ribosomal RNA". The stretch from base 1 to 120 matches the Rfam family "5.8S ribosomal RNA", at positions 35 to 154 of the family's 154-position model. The record is from RNAcentral.